Molecule: long non-coding RNA, 994 nt
Filed under: Papio anubis (olive baboon)
Lineage: Eukaryota; Metazoa; Chordata; Mammalia; Primates; Cercopithecidae
Description: lncRNA (ENSPANG00000049965.1)
Source: RNAcentral
AAAAUUCUUUUUUCUUUUAUACUAUUAUAUGUGUAAUGCUCUUAAAAAUAUGCACAAAUAUCAAGUUUCACUUUUACCUUAGCUGAAUAAAAAAUUCUGAAUAUUUUCACAUAUCUCUUUCUACCAUUUUUCAUUUUGCUAUCUGUCCGGAGCUGCGCGCCCCGGCCAUAGCGAAUAAUAAUUAACGAUUAAAACGCCUGAGCUCUAUUCAUUUCCACCUCUCACCUCCUUCCUAGAUUUGUCUUUUUCCCCUGUAUUAAAUACCUCACACAAGAUGGCGCUCUUCCUGCUUCUUCUUCACCCAUCUUUCCCGCGCGCGUGAAAAUUGUUACUUUAUAGCGCAGGCGCAACAUGACGUCCGACCGAUGAAACCAAAACCUGCCUGGCCACGCCCUCCGAAAUGAGAUCAUUUCCGCCUUGGCCCAACCCCUUCCCCUCCAAGUGUAUAUAAGGCACUGCAUUACCGCCAUUAAACGAGACUUGAUCAGAGCACUGUCUUGUCUCCAUUUCUCCUGUCUCUUGUUCCCCAAAUUCCCACUCCCUCCUCCAGGGCCUGCAUCGAGGAUCCCGCAGGCCGGGAUAGCUAUCAGUCUUGGCUUCCAUCAUUUUGUUACAUGAAGAGGCAUCUUCAAAGAGCAAACUGAUACAACUUUAAAUUGAAAAGGACAAAGUUUGAAAUGAAAUAUUUGCCCAAAGAUUUGUUGUGUUUUGCAAGGCUGGAGUACAGCGGUUUGCUCUUAGCUCACUGCAACCUCUACCUCUCAGACUGAAGCCAUCCUCCCACUUCAGCCUUCCCAGUAGCUGGGACUUACAGGUACCAGACACAAAGUUAUUUAUUUAUUUAUUUAUUUAUUUAUUUUGUAUUUUUUGUAGAGAUGAAGUUUUACUGUGUUGUUCAGGUUGGUCUCCAACUCCUGAGCUCAAGCAAUCUGUCACCUUGGCCUUCCAAAGUGUUGGGAUUACAGGUGUGAGCCACUAUGUCUGGCCCACAAGG